This 252-nucleotide ribosomal RNA is filed under the name uncultured bacterium. RNAcentral describes it as "partial 16S ribosomal RNA". It matches the Rfam family "Bacterial small subunit ribosomal RNA", at positions 524 to 776 of the family's 1533-position model. The record is from RNAcentral.
UACGUAGGGGGCAAGCGUUGUCCGGAUUUAUUGGGCGUAAAGAGCGUGUAGGCGGCCAUACAGGUCAGCUGUGAAAACUCGAGGCUCAACCUCGAGACGCCGGUGGAAACCAUCAGACUAGAGUCCGGAAGAGGAGAGUGGAAUUCCUGGUGUAGCGGUGAAAUGCGCAGAUAUCAGGAAGAACACCCGUGGCUAAGGCGGCUCUCUAGUACGGUACUGACGCUGAGACGCGAAAGCGUGGGAGCGAACAGG